ACGGGAGGCAGCAGUGGGGGAUAUUGCACAAUGGGGGAAACCCUGAUGCAGCAACGCCGCGUGUGGGAAGAAGGUUUUCGGAUUGUAAACCACUGUUCUCAGGGACGAUAAUGACGGUACCUGAGGAGAAAGCUCCGGCUAACUACGUGCCAGCAGCCGCGGUAAUACGUAGGGAGCGAGCGUUGUCCGGAUUUACUGGGUGUAAAGGGUGCGUAGGCGGCUCUGCAAGUCAGUCGUGAAAACCAUGGGCUCAACCCGUGGACUGCGAUUGAAACUGUGGAACUUGAGUGAAGUAGAGGCAGGCGGAAUUCCCGGUGUAGCGGUGAAAUGCAUAGAGAUCGGGAGGAACACCAGUGGCGAAGGCGGCCUGCUGGGCUUUAACUGACGCUGAGGCACGAAAGUAUGGGUAGCAAACAGGAUUAGAUACCCUGGUA
This 434-nucleotide ribosomal RNA is filed under the name uncultured Oscillospiraceae bacterium. RNAcentral describes it as "bacterial SSU rRNA". It matches the Rfam family "Bacterial small subunit ribosomal RNA", at positions 341 to 792 of the family's 1533-position model. The record is from RNAcentral. Lineage: Bacteria; Bacillati; Bacillota; Clostridia; Eubacteriales; Oscillospiraceae.